RNAcentral lists this ribosomal RNA (1485 nucleotides) under uncultured Bordetella sp. Its description in RNAcentral is "partial 16S-23S ribosomal RNA intergenic spacer". It matches the Rfam family "Bacterial small subunit ribosomal RNA". The record is from RNAcentral. Lineage: Bacteria; Pseudomonadati; Pseudomonadota; Betaproteobacteria; Burkholderiales; Alcaligenaceae.
AGUUCGAUUAUGGCUCAGAUUGAACGCUGGCGGGAUGUUUACACAUGCAAGUCGAACGGCGGCACGGACUUCGGUCUGGUGGCGAGUGGCGAACGGGUGGUAAUGUAUCGGAACUUGCCUAGUAGCGGGGGAUAACUACGCGAAAGCGUAGCUAAUACCUUGCGCCCUUCGGGGAAAGCGGGGACCUUCGGGCCUCGCACUAUUAGAGCAGCCGAUAUCGGAUUAGCUAGUUGGUGGAGUAACGGCUCACCAAGGCGACGAUCCGUAGCUGGUUUGAGAGGACGACCAGCCACACUGGGACUGAGACACGACCCAGACUCCUACAGGAGGCAGCAGUGGGGAAUUUUGGACAAUGGGGGAAACCCUGAUCCAGCCAUCCCGCGUGUGCGAUGAAGGCCUUCGGGUUGUAAAGCACUUUUGGCAGGAAAGAAACGGCACGGGAUAAUACCCCGUGCAGCUGACGGCUACCUGCAGAAUAAGCGCCGGCUAACUACGUGCCAGCAGCCGCGGUAAUACGUAGGGUGCAAGCGUUAAUCGGAAUUACUGGGCGUAAAGCGUGCGCAGGCGGUUCGGGAAAGAAAGAUGUGAAAUCCCAGAGCUUAACUUUGGAACUGCAUUUUUAACUACCGAGCUAGAGUGUGUCAGAGGGAGGUGGAAUUCCCGCGAUGUAGCAGUGAAAUGCGUAGAUAUGGAGGAACACCGAUGGCGAAGGCAGCCUCUGGGAUAACAACUGACGCUCAUGCACGAAAGCGUGGGGAGCAAACAGGAUUAGAUACCCUGGUAGUUCACGCCCUAAACGAUGUCAACUAGCUGUUGGGGCCUUCGGGCCUUGGUAGCGCAGCUAACGCGUGAAGUUGACCGCCUGGGGAUUACGGUCGCAAGAUUAAAACUCAAAGGAAUUAUUGAGGGACCCGCACAAGCGGUGGAUGAUGUGGAUUAAUUCGAUGCAACGCGAAAAACCUUACCUACCCUUGACAUGUCUGGAAUCCCGAAGAGAUUUGGGAGUGCUCGCAAGAGAACCGGAACACAGGUGCUGCAUGGCUGUCGUCAGCUCGUGUCGUGAGAUGUUGGGUUAAGUCCCGCAACGAGCGCAACCCUUGUCAUUAGUUGCUACGAAAGGGCACUCUAAUGAGACUGCCGGUGACAAACCGGAGGAAGGUGGGGAUGACGUCAAGUCCUCAUGGCCCUUAUGGGUAGGGCUUCACACGUCAUACAAUGGUCGGGACAGAGGGUCGCCAACCCGCGAGGGGAACCAAUCCCAGAAACCCGAUCGUAGUCCGGAUCAUGAUCUGCAACUCGACUGCGUGAAGUCGGAAUCGCUAGUAAUCGCGGAUCAGCAUGUCGCGGUGAAUACGUUCCCGGGUCUUGUACACACCGCCCGUCACACCAUGGGAGUGGGUUUUACCAGAAGUAGUUAGCCUAACCGUCAAGGAGGGCGAUUACCACGGUAGGAUUCAUGACUGGGGUGAAGUCGUAACAAGGUAG